UUGGUUUGGUGAUACAUUCUCAUAAUCCCA
RNAcentral lists this non-coding RNA (30 nucleotides) under Mus musculus (house mouse). Lineage: Eukaryota; Metazoa; Chordata; Mammalia; Rodentia; Muridae. The record is from RNAcentral.